CAUCCCGAACACGGAAGUUAAGCUUUUCAGCGCCGAUGGUAGUAGGGGGCUUCCCCCUGUGAGAGUAGGUCGUCGCCGGGC
This 81-nucleotide ribosomal RNA is filed under the name Listeria booriae. Lineage: Bacteria; Bacillati; Bacillota; Bacilli; Caryophanales; Listeriaceae. The record is from RNAcentral.